ACGCUGUGGUGGGCAUACCAUGCUUGUCGAGCGUGUAGCGCAGGGGAGCUUGCUCUCUGCGUGAGGGGCGGAGGACGGGAGAGUAAUGUCUGGGACCUGCCUGAUGGAGGGGGAUAUUACUGAAAACGGUAGCUAAUACCGCAUAACGUCUACAGACCAAAGUGGGGGACCUUCGGGCCUCACGCCAUCAGAUGUGCCCAGAUGGGAUUAGCUAGUAGGUGGGGUAAUGGAUCACCUAGGCGACGAUCCCUAGCUGGACUGAGACGAGGCCCACUCCUACUGGGACUGAGCCCCGGCCCCCACUACAACGGGAAGGGGCUAUGAUUGAUAUUGGCGCGAAAGCCCGAGCCUGAUGCAACCCUUCCGCGUGUGUGAAUAAGGCCUUAGGGUUGUAAAGCACUUUCAGCGAGGAGGAAGGGUAGUGUGUUAAUAGCACAUUGCAUUUUUUGUUACUCGCAGAAGAAGCACCGGGUAACUCCGUGCCAGCAGCCGCGGUAAUACGGAGGGUGCAAGCGUUAAUCGGAAUUACUGGGCGUAAAGCGCACGCAGGCGGUUUGUUAAGUCAGAUGUGAAAUCCCCGCGCUUAACGUGGGAACUGCAUUUGAAACUGGCAAGCUAGAGUCUUUGUAGAGGGGGGUAGAAUUCCAGGUGUAGCGGUGAAAUGCGUAGAGAUCUGGAGGAAUACCCGGUGGCGAAGGCGGGCCCCCUGGACAAAGACUGACGCUCAGUGCGAAAGCGUGGGGAGCAACAGGAUUAGAUACCCUGGUACUCCACGCUGGACACGAUGUCGAUUUGGAUGUUGUGCCCUUGAGCGUGGCUUCCGGAGCUAACGCGUAAUCGACCGCCUGGGGAGUACGGCCGCAAGGUUAAACUCAAAUGAAUGACGGGGGCCCGCACAGCCGUGGAGCAUGUGGUUUAAUUCGAUGCAACCUGAAGAACCUUACCUACUCCUGACAUCCAAAAACUUUCCAGAGAUGGAUUGGUGGCCUUCGGAAUCCUGAACAGUGCUGCAUGGCCUGCCGCACCUCGUGUUUGGAACUGUUUGGGGUUAAGUCCCCGCCACAGACCGCCAACCCUUUAUCUCUUAUGGUUUGCCAGCGAAUUCCGGCUCGGGGAACUUCAAGCGGGAACUGGCCGGUAAUAAACUCGUGAGAAAGGGGGGGGGAUAGGCACCUCUAGAGGCCUC
RNAcentral lists this ribosomal RNA (1186 nucleotides) under Rahnella sp. SYC32. RNAcentral's name for it is "bacterial SSU rRNA". It matches the Rfam family "Bacterial small subunit ribosomal RNA", at positions 33 to 1202 of the family's 1533-position model. The record is from RNAcentral. Lineage: Bacteria; Pseudomonadati; Pseudomonadota; Gammaproteobacteria; Enterobacterales; Yersiniaceae.